GCCGGUGUGGAGGAGUCCGGAGUCCUCGCUUCCCCGUCAAGGAAGAGACCACGGGUUCGAAUCCCGUUACUGGCG
This 75-nucleotide transfer RNA is filed under the name Nocardia terrae. RNAcentral describes it as "Nocardia sp. ET3-3 tRNA-Asp". It matches the Rfam family "tRNA". Rfam says of the family: Transfer RNA (tRNA) molecules are approximately 80 nucleotides in length. Their secondary structure includes four short double-helical elements and three loops (D, anti-codon, and T loops). The record is from RNAcentral. Lineage: Bacteria; Bacillati; Actinomycetota; Actinomycetes; Mycobacteriales; Nocardiaceae.